GCGGAGGCAAAGAGGCAAAGAGGAGGCGAGAGCGAAGGAGCAGCAUCUUCUCCGGCUCCAUCCCCGAGCCGACAAGUUCAUCCAAAGUUGCGGCACAGACUUCCUCUCUGAGCACCGAUGCCAGUUUCUUCAGCUAGGCUCCACCACAAGUGUCGGUGAUGGUAUGACUCUGGAAGGAAGACUGCAGCGGCGGUACUGGUCGUAAACCUUCUGUUUCCAUCGAAACCAAUCCUGACAUUGCGACGAAGCACAAUGAAGAUCUGGCACCUGCGAGAAGACUCCUGAGCAAGCAGUCGGCUCACGCUGCGACAGCACGAAGGCUGAUUUGCCGUCGCCUCCGGCGAGAGGAGCCCAGCGUGACCCCGGCCUCUAUGAGGUAAACGAGGAUCCACCAGGAUGAGAUGAUGGCUGACGCACGUGGAGUCUGAAUUUGGCACGCUGCGUUAAGAUCACUUAGGAACAAAGGCAAAAAUUAUAGAAACGUUAUUUAGUCUCAUCUGCAUGGAGGUAUGUAUGCGCAAUCCCAAUAAUGUAAGCGGGUAGGUAUCCAUUGAAUAGCCCAGCAGGGCCGAGAACGAAAAGUGGUAUUUGCUACGUGGCAAAAUGGAUUUUGCCAUGUGGCAUUUUUUUUUGGCCAUGUGGCAAAACGGAUGUGGCAUUUUUUUGCCAUGUGGCAAAAUGGAUUUUGUCAUGUAGCAUUUUUUUUUUGCCAUUUGGCAAAAUUGAUUUGGCCAUGUGGCAAAAUGGAUUUGCCAUGUGGCAUUUUUUUUGUCAUGUGACAAAUUUAUUUUGCCAUGUGGCAUAAUUGAUUUUGCCGUGUGGCAAAAUGUAUUUUGCCGUGUGGCAAAACUGAUUUGGCCAUGUGGCAAAAUUGAUUUGGCCAUGUGGCAAAAUGUAUUUUGCCAUGUGGCAAAAUUGAAUUGGCCAUGUGGCAAAAUGUAUUUUGCCAUGUGGCAAAAUUGAAUUUGCAAUGUGGCAAAAUGUUUUUGCCAUGUGGCAAAUUUGAUUUUGCUAUGUGGCAUUUUUUUUGCCAUGUGGCAAAAUGUUUUUUGCCGUGUGGCAAAAUGGAUUUUGCCGUGUGGCAAAAUGGAUAUGGCUUUUUUUUUUGCCAUGUGGCAAUAUGGAUUUUUCCAUGUGGCAUUUUUUUGCCAUGUGGCAAAAUGGAUUUUGUCAUGUAGCAUUCUUGUGCCAUGUGGCAAAAUGGAUUUUGCCGUGUGGCAAAUUGUUUUUUGCCGUGUGGCAAAUUUGAUUUUGCUAUGUGGCAUUUUUUUUACCAUAUGGCAAAAUGGAUAUGGCACUUUUUUGCCAUGUGGCAAUAUGGAUUUUUCCAUGUGGCAUUUUUUUGCCAUGUGGCAAAAUGGAUUUUGUCAUGUAGCAUUUUUGUGCCAUGUGGCAAAAUGGAUUUUGCCGUGUGGCAAAUUGUUUUUUGCCGUGUGGCAAAUUUGAUUUUGCUAUGUGGCAUUUUUUUUUACCAUAUGGCAAAAUGGAUAUGGCAUUUUUUUGCCAUGUGGCAAUGUGGAUUUUGCCAUGUGGCAAAAAUGGAUUUUGUCAUGUGGCAUUUUUGUGCCAUGUGGCAAAAUGGAUUUUGCCAUGUGGCAUUUUUGUGCCAUGUAGCAAUAUGGAUUUUGCCAUGUGACAAAAUGGAUAUGGCAUAUUUUUGCCAAGUGGCAAAAUGGAUUUUGCCAUGUGGCAUUUUUUUUACCAUGUGACAAAAUCCAUUUAUCCAUGUGAUAAAAUCCACAUGGCAAAUACCACUUUUGGUUCUCGCAGUCUCUCGAAUAGCUAGAUACGAAUUGACCUCAAAAAGAGCUGUAAAAUAGUUCUGCAUACAAAUCUGUAUCAUUUGAAGAAAAACUUACCUCGCGCAGCAAAAUUGCAAUGUGGCAAAAAAAAAAAAAGCCACAUGGCAAAAUCAAUUUUGCCACCUGGCAAAAAAAAAAUGCCGCAUGGCAAAAUCCAUUUUGCCACAUGGCAGAUACCACUUCUGGUUCUCGCUGUCUAUCAAAUAGAUACCAAAUGAACCGUAAAAUAGUUCCCCAUCCAAAUCUGUAUCGUCUUAAGAAAAACUCUUACUUCGCUAGUCACGCCUUUUGAAGCCUCUGCGCGGCCGCUCGCCCACGUGCCGACCGCCGCCUCCGCCUCCCCACCCCCGGUGCAGAGCGGUGGCAUUAUUAAACUUGUAUAAGAUCAUUAGCAUACAAAGCAGGAAACCUACAGCGUCGCAGUCAUACAUAUUUAUCUGGACGUGCUUAGCACGCGCUCGUACCGUAACCCUUCCGCUCGCCAAGCGUGUCCGGCUAUCUGUCGCGGACGACGGCGCAUUUCGGCCGCCGCGAAGUGGGUAUUAGCUGAAGCGCGCCCGGUUUUCACGUGGAAAUAUUUAUCAAGAGGAUGCCGGAAUAUGCCCAUUUGCAAACAGCAGAAGGAUGCUCGCUGGCAUUCAUCACCGCUCUUUGUUUCGAGCGUAGCGCGUGUAAUAAAACGAUAAUAAAAUACAUAUUCAUUUGGCGUCCGUAAUCAAACGGGGACUUUGAUACGACGAGCGUCACCUGUGGGUUAGCCGUGCAUGCGUAGGAGCGAAAGCACGCCAUUGCCGUCUCUUAGCCUCUCCUGGGUGCCACCCCCCUCUGUUUUCCUGCUUCUUUUUCCCGCCUGAUUGCACAAUAGCUCCUUGUUUGCAAUGCGAAAUUCUCUUUCCCAGUGGCAUUUCAUAGGGAAAAAAAGGGUGGGGUGCCUGUAAAUCCCAAAGAAAAGUCUAGUUGCUAGGCAGCGUCCUUGAAGCGCCUUUAUCUGGCCAAUGACAGCACACCAAAGUAAGAGCUAACUGAUAGUAUCACUGCUCACCUGCUGAUUGCCACUGCUUCUUCCUCCCUUGCUUUUCCUCCUCUUCCUCCUUCCUGUGAGAUUGCUGUUGUGUCUUAUGGCUUUUUAUUCCUACGUGAUGGUCGAUGUGUUCAUGUAGGAACAGAAGCCACUAAACACGCGGUGACCGAUCAGCGCGACGGACAAUUUCGGGAUGUUGCCGUCAACAUUUAUCUAAGUUAAUUCGACGUUCUGCUGUAUGUCAGGACAUGUAAAAUGUUCACUAUAGAAGCACACCAGCGAUGAGAUGCACAGAGGUAGGUGAUGAUUGUUUUAUGAACAGACAACAAUCAACUCAUUCACUGCAAUAUGUAAAUAAAUUAUAAAAAAUUUCAUAGACUUCAUCAUUAUAUUGACGGGACAGAUUCCCCAGACACUGCCCCACGCCUUUUCGUAGUUGGCUGUCCCACACUCCGCUUCAGUUAAUCGCAGUCGGUCUUAGUUCUUCUCAAACACAUGCAGCGAUCCAACGCCGGAUUUAGGUUGAAAAAGUACGAAAGGUAUACCGCAUACAAACAGGAAGGAUUGUCUCAGGAGUGAUUUGUUCGAGGAUUCAAGGUAAUUGUUCUAUUUUUCGUACCAUGCGUGCAUUUUGAAACAUGAAAAAAAUCAAUAGGAGAAAUUAGCGGCAACAGCAUUGGCGUCCUACUCCACAAUAUUUACAUCAAAUAAAUGCUCACUGCCUGUUUUUUGCUUUUAACCAAGAAUCGAGACUGUUUUACAGUCAUAUCUAUAAAGAAUUCAGGGAUUUAAGCAUUUAUUCACACGAAUUUUCGACAUAAAAACUCAUUGUGGUGAUAAGCCAGCACCACAGUGGCUUAAAGACUAGCAGUACAUUCGACAUAUUUACGUAAAAUAAAUGCUAACUUCCGUUUUUUGUUCUUUUAACCAAAAAUCGAGACUGUUUUAAGUCCAUAUCUAUAAAGAAUUCAGGGAUUUAAGCAUUUAUUCACAAGAAUUUUUAACGUAAAAACUCUCUGUGGUGAUAAGGCGGCGCCACAAUGGCUUAAAGACUAGCAGCAUAUUCGACAUAUUUACGUAAAAUAAAUGCUAACUGCACGUUUUUUUGGUCUUUUAACAAAGAAUAAAGAGUGUUUUACAUCAAUAUCUAUAAAGAAUUCCGGGAUUUAAGCAUUUAUUCACAAGAAUUUUUAACAUAAAAACUCCUUGUGGUAAUAAGCCGGCACCACAGUGGCUUAAAGACUAGCAGUACAUUCGAAAUAUUUACAUCAAAUAAAUGCUAACUGCCCGUUUUUUUUGCUUUUAACCAAGAAUCGAGACAGUUUUACAUCCAUAUCUAUAAAGAAUUCAUGGAUUUAAGCAUUUAUUCCCAAAAAUUUCAAAAUAAAAAGCUCUUUGUGAUAAGGUGGCGCCUCAGUGGCUUAAAGACUAGCAGUACAUUCAACAUAUUUACGUAAAAUAAAUGCUAACUGCCCGUUUUUUUGCUUUUAACCAAGAAUCGAGACAGUUUUACAUCCAUAUCUAUAAAGAAUUCAUGGAUUUAAGCAUUUAUUCCGAAAAAUUUCAACGUAAAAAGCUCUUUGUGGUGAUAAGGCGGCGCAAGAGUAGCUUAAAGACUAGCAGCACAUUCGACAUAUUUAUGUAAAAUAAAUACUAACUGCUUGUUUUUUUGCUUUUAACCAAGAAUCGAGACUGUUUUACAUCCAUAUCUAUCAAGAAUUCAGGAAUUUAAGCAUUUAUUCCCCAAAAUUUCAACAUAAAAAGCUCUUUGUGAUAAGGCGGCGCCUCAGUGGCUUAAAGACUAGCAACAUAUUCGACAUAUUUACGUUAAAAAAAAUGCUAACUGCCCGUUUUUUUUUUGCGUUUAACCAAGAAUCGAGACAGUUUUACAUCCAUAUCUAUAAAGAAUUCAUGGAUUUAAGCAUUUAUUCCCAAAAAUUUCAACAUAAAAAGCUCUUUGUGAUAAGGCGGCGCCUCAGUGGCUUAAAGACUAGCAGUACAUUCGACAUAUUUACGUAAAAUAAAUGCUAACUGCACGUUUUUUUGGUCUUUUAACAAAGAAUAAAGAGUGUUUUACAUAGAUAUCUAUAAAGAAUUCCGGGAUUUAAGCAUUUAUUAACAAGAAUUUUUAACAUAAAAACUCCUUGUGGUAAUAAGCCGGCACCACAGUGGCUUAAAGACUAGCAGUACAUUCGAAAUAUUUACGUCAAAUAAAUGCUAACUGCCAGUUUUUUUUGCUUUUAACCAAGAAUCGAGACAGUUUUACAUCCAUAUCUAUAAAGAAUUCAGGGAUUUAAGCAUUUAUUCCCAAAAAUUUCAACAUAAAAAGCUCUUUGUGAUAAGGCGGCGCCUCAGUGGCUUAAAGACUAGCAACAUAUUCGACAUAUUUUCGUUAAAAAAAUGCUAACUGCCCGUUUUUUUGCUUUUAACCAAGAAUCGAGACAGUUUUACAUCCAUAUCUAUAAAGAAUUCAUGGAUUUAAGCAUUUAUUCCGAAAAAUUUCAACGUAAAAAGCUCUUUGUGGUGAUAAGGCGGCGCCAGAGUAGCUUAAAGACUAGCAGCACAUUCGACAUAUUUACGUAAAAUAAAUGCUAACUGCCCGUUUUUUGUUCUUUGAACCAAAAAUCGAGACUGUUUUACGUCCAUAUCUAUCAAGAUAUAAGGGAUUUAAGCAUUUAUUCACAAGAACCUUCAAAUUAAAAAGCUGUUUGUCCGUGUUUUCACUCGGUCAGCUUUGACGGAGAUAGGCCCCCUAUUAAUCGGCCCCACACCCUGUCAAUAUAUUAUGAAGUCUAUGAACAUUCCCAUUUAAACUUCCAUUUCUUUCUUGGAUACUUUUACCAACUUGUCCAACUGUGGCAUUUAUUCCCUUAAAGCUCCCCUUGAGCGGAGUUCGCUACCAACCAAUUAAGCGUAAAAUUCAAAUGACCUCAUUCCCGUUUGGGUCCACGUUGGCGCGUUGGGAUUGGGUUUAAAUGUCAAGCGUCUGUUAGUGUCGACCGCCCGCCGGCGCACAAUCUGAAUAAAUCCUAAACGUGCUGUUGUCGCGAGCCAAAAGUCUGAAUUAUGAAUCCGUGUAUAUUACAGCGGUUCGACACGUGCUUCAAUUGUGCGACAUUACUUCUGCACCGACGCAAAGUUGGAUUAAUAUUCAAGAAGACAUUGCAAUAGCUACGCUCUGCUGGGGUUUCAUGAUUUAUUCAGCGCCGCGAGUUGUUGUGAUCUAAUAUUCAGUGGGCGGGAUGGGAAGUUUCUUUCGCUUGCAUUAUCGGUUUAAUUCAUGUUUCGGGUUCCCGCGCAUAGGUGGUGGGGCUUCUUUUUGGUGCGCGUGGGGGUCUAAGAGAAUUCCAGAGCAGAGCCGAGAGGGGCGGUUUCGAUCCCGGGCCGGCAGGGGGUCUGUGGGAAUGGAAAGGUGGGAACGCUAACAUGUUGGGAGGGUAGAAGCAUGUACUUUUGGGGGGGGUAGAAAAAAAAAGAUUGAUUCCAGAUGUCUUUCUUUGCCUGCGGGUGUGUUCGCCAUUGGUGAUCUGACGCCGCUUUUAAACCUUGAAAAUGUCAUAUUAGGUAUCAGCGAGGUCAUGUGGCCUUCAACUUCAAGCCAACGAUAGUGAAGGAAUUGAAUUUUUAUGUGACAAAUGCAAAGGCGUAUGAUGUGUUUGUGUACAGUAUCAACCCCCCCACAGGCUCCGCUUUGAUUUCCCUCUAAUAAAUAAUGCUCUUUUGUGUUCUCUGCUUCAUUUGUUCCCGUUUGUAAUGUCAGCGCUCUUCAAUAAAACAUGAACAA
Molecule: long non-coding RNA, 6607 nt
Organism: Corythoichthys intestinalis (scribbled pipefish)
Lineage: Eukaryota; Metazoa; Chordata; Actinopteri; Syngnathiformes; Syngnathidae
Exons: 6
Source: RefSeq, a predicted model, not a curated record